This 69-nucleotide transfer RNA is filed under the name Enyalioides binzayedi. Its description in RNAcentral is "tRNA-Gln". Lineage: Eukaryota; Metazoa; Chordata; Lepidosauria; Squamata; Hoplocercidae. The record is from RNAcentral.
UAGAAGGACAGGAAUCGAACCUGUACCAAAAGACUCAAAAUCCUUUGCACUUCCUUAUACAACCUCCUA